Molecule: ribosomal RNA, 253 nt
Filed under: uncultured bacterium
Lineage: Bacteria
Description: partial 16S ribosomal RNA
Rfam family: Bacterial small subunit ribosomal RNA
Source: RNAcentral
UACAGAGGUCUCAACCGUUGUUCGGAUUCAUUGGGCGUAAAGGGUGCGUAGGCGGUCGUGCAAGUCGGAUGUGAAAUCUCAGAGCUCAACCCUGAAACUGCAUUCGAUACUGCGCGGCUAGAGUGCUGGAGGGGAGACUGGAAUUUACGGUGUAGCAGUGAAAUGCGCAGAUAUCAGGAGGAACACCGGUGGCGAAGGCGGAUCUCUGGGCCAUUACUGACGCUGAGGAGCGAAAGCGUGGGGAGCGAACAGG